ACUCUCCACUCCGAGGCUCAGGGAGCAAGUGCCUGGUAUGGGGGGUAAAAGUUGGCUUUUUUUUUACUCCUUGGUCUUUUGCGCCCUUCUCCCUCUCCCCAGAAGGGAAGACCCAUUUAAACUAUUUUAGACGCAAUCAACCAAGAAUCACCAUGUGGAAUUGAGCGGCAGUUUUAAAUGUGUUGAGCAGAGGAGAGGAAUGAUGAGAAAAACAUUUUUUUUUUUUUUUUUGGAGACGCCGAAAGAAGCCUGUUUGUGUGCUGCGGCCGUGCUGUGACUCUGGAUCUUGUCUUUCAGCCGGCGCCUCGGUUCCUGCCCAGCUGGAUUUGGGGGGCAGCAUUGCCUGGCGCAGGGAGAUCAAAUGAGACUGCAAAGAACAUAAAAUGAAUAGACAAUCCAACCAACCAAAGACCGGGGGCAGCAGCAGGCCAGCAAGACGGCAUCUUCUCCUUCCCAGCCUAGAAGCCCUGUGAAAUCGAGGAUCUUCCCCCUAAAACACAUACACACAAGAUAUGUGCAAUCAAGCUGCCACCGCUUGGUAAAAAGCUCAUGGUGCCUAACCAAAAAGGAUCAGGAACAGAUCCUUGAAUCAGCUGUCACUUCUAUAGAAUGGGAUUUUUUUUCCUUCCUCCUUAACCUGCGCUGGAAAUUGCCGUUGGCUUUAUACAUCUCUAUAGAGAGAGGCUAAAGAGUCUUGCGUGAGAAAGAAGCAAUUUACAAUGCAAAUAGAGGCCUGUGAAGGGACGGAUGCUGCUGCUCACUCGUAACAGCUUGCUGCACCUUAAUAGCUGGUUUUAUUUUCUGAUAUUAAUAGAUGAAUUGUUGGCUAACGCUGCCGGAGAUUACUUGCUGAAAGGAAAAAAAAAAGUUCGGAAUAAACUCUGAAGGCAACAGAUCUCGUUUGGAUGUUUUAGCCGCGCACACACACAAACAGAAACCAGGUCAUAUUUACAUAAAAGGAGGAAUCUUAAGCGCGGCAAGUAUCCUGGACGACCACUCUUCGGUACUGCCAGAAAGGAUCAGGACCUGGAGUCUGGCAAGAGGAAGACAGAGGCCUGUGUGGGAAGCGAGUUGUUAUCUUUGGUUAUCUAGCUGUAUGAGUGUAUUGGUCUUCAUAAAGCUAGAUAACCGAAAGUAAAAACUCCUUCAAGAUCGCCGGGGAGCGUGUGAGAAUGAAAGACUACAGCCGAGAGACAGUAAAAACCAGAAAGGUCAGGAAUACUUAUUGAAUCUAACUUUGUUUUUGUUUUGUUUUUUUCCUUAUGAUUAAAGGUGGGAUGAGAGAAAAUUAAAUGACACACAACAUGCUAAAAUAUCAAGGUGCCAGAUAUGUCUUGAGAGGGGUUGUUGCAGCUGCAAAGGAGAAGUGUAUAGUGAUAAUGAGUAAAGAUGCAUGUGCAGUUUGUUCUAUUUUAAGGCAAAAGUUAUAUCAGGGAUUUUUUUCUUAGAAAGGUGUUGCAGAGAUGUCUGGUACCUAGUUUAAAAAUGAUUCCAUAAUAUGUAGACUUGGGCAGUUCCUUUGUGAGGCACCUCCCUCUCAAAAUUUGAAGAUUGUGCUUGGUAAUUACUUUACAUGUAUUUGGGCUGUAUGUCAAUUUGUACGAAAUUAGACUUUCAGAAAAGUUUAUACUGGAAGGUUAAUAAUUUGUAUCUACUGAGGACUUAGAGCUAGCAGGCAAAAUGAAAAAAAAAAAAAAAGCAAGGGCUGAUUUUUAUUCUUCUAUUCAAAAUACAAGGACAGAUGCUUCUCUGUUCCAAGAGGGUUUCCUUGAGGAAGCUACUGAAGCAGAAAGACAUGAUGGAGACGAGAUCGCCUCCCCUCUUGUCAAAGUGUUAAAAAAUGUUCUGUCUUACUCUGCGCCUAGCAUUGGAAAUGAAAGUGACAUUUACGCCACAACCCACGUGUGCGCCUCCUCUCUUUUUGUUUAAGGAUGAUCAGGUCUAUCCAGGAAACAGCUCUGGCAUCCCAAACUGAAAUAAUUAGGACGUAUAUAGACCUGACAAAAAUGGAAAGGGGGUGGGGAAUCUGAGGGUCUGUCUUGCCUAAUUGAUUCCGCUAAACGGAAUGCAGGAGAUGUGAACGGCAGGACGCUCCGAUUCCCACGCUCGGGGGCAAGUGAUAAAGCGGGGCCGGGCAGCCUAUGACAGACAGCCCUGUUGGGGGGUGGGGGUAUGAAAAAAACAUCAAGUGCACACACCAUACUCAUCUCCAUCGCUUAAGAAAGUAAAGGCAUUUCCCACCCACAGCCAUCUGCAGCUUCCCAAAUGGCAGCACCAACUGGUCUGUAGCUGCUACAUAGUCUGCUUCUGUUAAUUUUUUAACCACUGUUUAAUCUGGCCAUAAUUAAGUUUGGCUUUCUUCGUUGUUUGAGAUUUUCAGAAUUCAAGGCAAGCUAGUAGAAAGCAAUUCCAAGAAAGUCCCAUGACUGCCUGCCCCUAAUGUCAAAAUCUCAGUCCAUGAGAUUAUGGCCUUGUGACCACAUUUUUGCUUUUGUUUUGGGUGAGCAAAUGUGUAUAGAGAUAAAAUACAUAUCUCUAUAUAACAGUCGUUAUUAUAAUUUCAUGAGGCUUUUUACCUCUUAACAUGAUACAUCUAGGAACUUGGUCUAAUUGUGCUAGUAGAUAUACACUAGAAGUAAAACUAUAAAGUCAUUAGCCUGUAGAAAGUUGAUUAUGAUAACAAUAUGAUAAAAAGUUUGUUUUGGAAUAGUCUCAGCUAGAUGGGUCUAAAUAGCCAUUUUAAUGUAAUCUAAAAAUAACACUAUGCCUAGCAGAAACUUUGGCGCUUUGGAGGUCCCCAUUGUUGCCUUUUCAUAAAAGUCCUUAAGUUUUCCAUAUGUCACCAAGCAAACAUUUGUAUAGGCAUUUACACAGAAAUAUAACCAUUGCAAUUAGAAAAUAUCCAAAAUAGCCUGUUAUCUUCCACGUGGCCUAGAUUAUUGACAAUCCCAAAUAUACAAUUUUUCUUUAAAAGUAGUACAACUUCCUUUUGUAGCUUCAAUUCCUUAUAUGACUUCAGACUGGAGAAGCCUGUUAAACCACUGUUAGUUUCAGUUAGAAAGUCUGAGAGACUUUAUACAUAAAUUCUCAAUUUGGCUGCUGUACACGUGCCAGAGUUUUACUACUGUAGUGACCGUUGAGAAGACCCUUGUUUAUUUACAUUUGAAGCACUGUUUGUGCAAACAACCUUUCAUUGUUAAGUGCCUGUAUUCCUUUCAUUUACUUCAUGUCCAGGGGUGCUAUUUACCUAGAACCAUUGUCUACUACAAUUAACAUUUACAUUACAAAGUGUGUGGUUUUCUUUUUCAAGGAGGUUCAAUUAAGGCAAUAAGAUGUUUGCUGGAGAAACCUAUUGUUUACUGAAAGCACUCAAUGGAGUCAAAUUACUGAAGCUUUUGCCUACAUCUUGGUCUUUUAUGUAAAUAUGUUAAAUAUAACAUCUAAGGAAAAUAAACAAUAUUAUAAUUAUGUGUUUGCCAUUGUCAUAUCAAACUUGCUUUGUAUCAUACUAAUGUUACAUAACUUAUCGAUCAAUAAAAAUACAUUUCAAUGUUA
This 3555-nucleotide long non-coding RNA is filed under the name Pan troglodytes (chimpanzee). RNAcentral's name for it is "lincRNA". The stretch from base 1069 to 1144 matches the Rfam family "mir-9/mir-79 microRNA precursor family". The record is from RNAcentral. Lineage: Eukaryota; Metazoa; Chordata; Mammalia; Primates; Hominidae.